UGUUUUAAAAAAAAGAAAAAAAUUUUACCCUCCCGCAACCGCAAACACUAGCUGGAGCCAGCUUUUGAAUUUAUGAGAUUCGGAGCGGUUUGAAGCGAUUUAGAGCGAUUUGAGUGAUUGUUACAAACCGCCGACAACCGCUACCAACCGCAAAAGCUGCGUUUGCGGGUGGUAGCGGGAAAACCAGUCGCCCUCUUAAUAUCCAAACCGAACCCAAAACUAUCUGAACCGAACCGAGCCGAAAGUUCAAGUAGUAAAUAGAUCAUAUAGCCUCAUAUCCGAACUAUCUAAUACCCAAAAUAUCCAAACCGAACCAAUAUCAAAAAUGUCA
RNAcentral lists this long non-coding RNA (331 nucleotides) under Brassica rapa (field mustard). RNAcentral's name for it is "long non-coding RNA (BRAP_LNC002314)". Lineage: Eukaryota; Viridiplantae; Streptophyta; Magnoliopsida; Brassicales; Brassicaceae. The record is from RNAcentral.